GGGCCCGCACAAGCGGUGGAGCAUGUGGUUUAAUUCGAUGAUACGCGAGGAACCUUACCAGGGCUUAAAUGUAGUAUGACCGGUCUAGAAAUAGACCUUCUCUUCGGAGCAGAUUACAAGGUGCUGCAUGGUUGUCGUCAGCUCGUGCCGUGAGGUGUUAGGUUAAGUCCUGCAACGAGCGCAACCCCUAUUCUUAGUUGCCAGCGGUUCGGCCGGGGACUCUAAGAAGACUGCCAGCGCAAGCUGAGAGGAAGGUGGGGAUGACGUCAAAUCAUCACGGCCUUACGUCCUGGGCUACACACGUGCUACAAUGGUAGAGACAGAGGGCAGCCACCUGGUGACAGGGAGCGAA
RNAcentral lists this ribosomal RNA (352 nucleotides) under uncultured bacterium. Its description in RNAcentral is "bacterial SSU rRNA". It matches the Rfam family "Bacterial small subunit ribosomal RNA", at positions 917 to 1271 of the family's 1533-position model. The record is from RNAcentral.